CAUACUCUGAACUUCGGGAUUUCCAGGCAGUGUUUUGUGCCUACGCCGUACCCUGCUAGUAGCUUCUAGCUGCCAGCUUUUCGGUUUGCCAGCUCCUCGGUCUUGAUCUCGUAUUUCCCGGACAAUUUAUUGUCCACCUGUAUAUUUUUUACCAAGGAUGCUAAAAAUGGCAAAUGGUACCGUUAAGUGGUUCAACGACGCUAAAGGCUUCGGCUUCAUCUCCCCGUCUGAAGGCGGCGAAGACCUGUUCGCUCACUUCUCCGCAAUUCAAGGCAAUGGUUUCAAGACCUUGGCCGAAAACCAGAAGGUGACCUUCGAUAUCGUCACCGGCCCGAAGGGCAAGCAAGCUGCCAACAUUCGCCCGGUUGAAUAAACCACGCGAUAGCGCAAGCUGAUAAAAGCCCGGUUCGCCGGGCUUUUUUA
This 423-nucleotide small RNA is filed under the name Dechloromonas denitrificans. RNAcentral's name for it is "cspA thermoregulator". It matches the Rfam family "cspA thermoregulator". The record is from Rfam by way of RNAcentral. Lineage: Bacteria; Pseudomonadati; Pseudomonadota; Betaproteobacteria; Rhodocyclales; Azonexaceae.